RNAcentral lists this ribosomal RNA (991 nucleotides) under uncultured Bacteroidales bacterium. RNAcentral's name for it is "bacterial SSU rRNA". It matches the Rfam family "Bacterial small subunit ribosomal RNA", at positions 358 to 1351 of the family's 1533-position model. Lineage: Bacteria; Pseudomonadati; Bacteroidota; Bacteroidia; Bacteroidales. The record is from RNAcentral.
GGAAUAUUGGUCAAUGGGCGCAAGCCUGAACCAGCCAAGCCGCGUGCAGGAAGACGGCUCUAUGGGUUGUAAACUGCUUUUGUACAGGGAUAAUGUGCGAUACGUGUAUUGCAUUGCAGGUACUGUACGAAUAAGGAUCGGCUAACUCCGUGCCAGCAGCCGCGGUAAUACGGAGGAUCCAAGCGUUAUCCGGAUUUAUUGGGUUUAAAGGGUGCGUAGGCGGAAUAGUAAGUCAGCGGUGAAAGGUUAGAGCUUAACUCUGACAUUGCCGUUGAUACUGUUAUUCUAGAGUAUAUUUGACGUUGGCGGAAUGUGUCGUGUAGCGGUGAAAUGCUUAGAUAUGACAUAGAACACCGAUUGCGAAGGCAGCUAACUAAACUAUUCCUGACGCUCAUGCACGAAAGCGUGGGGAUCAAACAGGAUUAGAUACCCUGGUAGUCCACGCAGUAAACGAUGAUCACUCGUUGUCGGCGAUACACAGUCGGUGGCUAAGCGAAAGCGAUAAGUGAUCCACCUGGGGAGUACGUUCGCAAGUAUGAAACUCAAAGGAAUUGACGGGGGCCCGCACAAGCGGAGGAACAUGUGGUUUAAUUCGAUGAUACGCGAGGAACCUUACCCGGGCUUGAAAGUCACUGGAAUAACGGUGAAAGUCGUUAGCCUUCAAUGGCGAGUGUGAAGGUGCUGCAUGGUUGUCGUCAGCUCGUGCCGUGAGGUGUCGGCUUAAGUGCCAUAACGAGCGCAACCCUUACGGGUAGUUACCAUCAGGUUAUGCUGGGGACUCUACUCGGACUGCCGUCGUAAGAUGUGAGGAAGGUGGGGAUGACGUCAAAUCAGCACGGCCCUUACGUCCGGGGCUACACACGUGUUACAAUGGUCGGUACAGUGGGUUGCUACCUGGUGACAGGAUGCUAAUCUGUAAAGCCUCUCUCAGUUCGGAUCGAAGUCUGCAACCCGACUUCGUGAAGCUGGAUUCGCUAGUAAUCGCGCAUCA